UAAAAAAUUAUGAAAAAAAGAGUAGCUUAAUGAGAAUGCUCAGAGAAUAAGCGGUGGGUGUGAGCUUGUGUUUCUCAUUUAGACGAAAAUCAUUUUUCUUCUUGCGGGUCUGAAUAAGAGUAAGAUCUGCCGCUCUGGUAGGCGUUAUCGAUACUCGGCAUUGUUGGAUGCUUGAGCGCUUAUGGAAACAUAAGAAUAAAGGUGGUAACGCGGAAUUUUUCGUCCUUUGU
RNAcentral lists this non-coding RNA (230 nucleotides) under Facklamia hominis. RNAcentral's name for it is "T-box sequence". It matches the Rfam family "T-box leader". Rfam says of the family: Uncharged tRNA acts as the effector for transcription antitermination of genes in the T-box leader family. T-boxes are found upstream of many aminoacyl-tRNA synthetase genes and some amino acid biosynthetic genes usually in Gram-positive bacteria. The record is from RNAcentral. Lineage: Bacteria; Bacillati; Bacillota; Bacilli; Lactobacillales; Aerococcaceae.